CCUACGGGAGACAGCAGUGAGGAAUAUUGGUCAAUGGCCGGAAGGCUGAACCCGCCAAGCCGCAUGAAGGACGAAGGUGCCAAGCAUUGUAAACUUCUUUUGUCAAGGGACAACAUCAGGCUCGAGAGCCUGACCGCGGGUACUUGAAGCAAAAGCAUCGGCUAACUCCGUGCCAGCCGCCGCGGUAAUACGGAGGAUGCGCGCGGUAUCCGGCUUUAUUGGGUUAAAGGGGUUCGUAGGCGGACUGUUAAUUCAGCGGUAAAAGUCCGGGGCUAAACCCCGGCAAGCCGUUGAAACUGGCUGUCUUGAGAUGUCGAGAGGUAUGCGGAAUGCGCAGUGUAGCGGUGAAAUGCUGAGAUAGUGCGCAGAACUCCGAUUGCGAAGGCAGCAUACCGGCGGCGAUCUGACGCUGAGGCACGAAAGCGUGGGUAUCGAACAGGAUUAGAUACCCUAGUAGUC
Molecule: ribosomal RNA, 459 nt
Filed under: uncultured bacterium
Lineage: Bacteria
Description: partial 16S ribosomal RNA
Rfam family: Bacterial small subunit ribosomal RNA
Source: RNAcentral